Long non-coding RNA from Erinaceus europaeus (western European hedgehog), 322 nucleotides. RefSeq lists it as uncharacterized. The record is from RefSeq and is a predicted model, not a curated record. The transcript is spliced from 3 exons. Lineage: Eukaryota; Metazoa; Chordata; Mammalia; Eulipotyphla; Erinaceidae.
CUGAAAUCUCACAGCAGGGGUGAAACAAUGUGGGUCUGAGGCUCUAAGAGGCAGAAUACAGACUUCUCAGAUGGAAAAGUUAUUCUUAGAAGCACUCAGAUGGAUCAAAUAGGGUGUGGCCCCAUGCUCAGGACCCUGAGACACCACUGGUGAACUUUUUUUGGCAGAUAAGCCUGGAUUCCAGCAAAGAUUGCACUGAUGUCAUCCAAGAUUAAAACUUUCUGACAGAAAUGAAGUAGUCUCCCAAGGCAAUGAGAAUAUAUUCCUUUACCUCUGAAUUCCACCCACUUUCCAAUUAUUGAAAUAGACCUUCAGCAUUUCC